CGCGCAGGUGGUUUCUUAAGUCUGAUGUGAAAGCCCGGGGCUCAACCCCGGUACUGCAUUGGAAACUGUCGUACUAGAGUGUCGGAGGGGUAAGCGGAAUUCCUAGUGUAGCGGUGAAAUGCGUAGAUAUUAGGAGGAACACCAGUGGCGAAGGCGGCUUACUGGAUGAUAACUGACGCUGAGGCUCGAAAGCGUGGGGAGCAAACA
RNAcentral lists this ribosomal RNA (207 nucleotides) under uncultured bacterium. RNAcentral describes it as "partial 16S ribosomal RNA". It matches the Rfam family "Bacterial small subunit ribosomal RNA", at positions 568 to 774 of the family's 1533-position model. The record is from RNAcentral.